RNAcentral lists this ribosomal RNA (514 nucleotides) under uncultured Actinomycetes bacterium. RNAcentral describes it as "bacterial SSU rRNA". It matches the Rfam family "Bacterial small subunit ribosomal RNA", at positions 355 to 861 of the family's 1533-position model. The record is from RNAcentral. Lineage: Bacteria; Bacillati; Actinomycetota; Actinomycetes.
UAGGGAAUCUUGCGCAAUGGGCGAAAGCCUGACGCAGCGACGCCGCGUGCGGGAAGAAGGCCUUCGGGUUGUAAACCGCUUUCAGGAGGGACGAAGCCACUCGGGUUAAUAGCCCAGAGGGUGACGGUACCUCCAGAAGAAGCCCCGGCUAACUACGUGCCAGCAGCCGCGGUAAUACGUAGGGGGCAAGCGUUGUCCGGAUUUAUUGGGCGUAAAGAGCGUGUAGGCGGCCAGAUAGGUCAGCUGUGAAAACUCGAGGCUCGACCUCGAGAUGUCGGCUGAAACCAUCUGGCUAGAGUCCGGAAGAGGAGAAUGGAAUUCCCGGUGUAGCGGUGAAAUGCGCAGAUAUCGGGAAGAACACCCGUGGCGAAGGCGGUUCUCUGGGACGGUACUGACGCUGAGACGCGAAAGCGUGGGGAGCGAACAGGAUUAGAUACCCUGGUAGUCCACGCCGUAAACGAUGGGAACUAGGUGUGGGCGGUGUCGACUCCGUCCGUGCCGAAGCUAACGCUAA